Long non-coding RNA from Peromyscus leucopus (white-footed mouse), 375 nucleotides. RefSeq lists it as uncharacterized. The transcript has 3 exons. The record is from RefSeq and is a predicted model, not a curated record. NCBI's taxonomy places the organism in Eukaryota, Metazoa, Chordata, Mammalia, Rodentia, Cricetidae.
AGAGAACAUAACUAGGCUUCUUUCUAAGAUAUGAGCUGUCUUUGUAACCAAAGGAAAUUCACGGGCUUUGGAAGAGAAAACAGGAAAAGGGAAAGUCUUAUAUGUGUCAGAGAUCACCGAAGACCAAGAGAGAAGACAUGAACUUCUAGCGGCUGCCCUGGUGCCAUGCUUCCCUCACUACUGCCAUGGCUUCCCUUAGUGAUGGACAUGGAGAAUGGCCAUGGGGUCAUGGACAUGGACUCUAAGUUGUGUUUGCAUUUGCAUGGGUAUGAGGUUAUUGACUGGCUCAUAAGCAAGUUUCCACUGGCUACACCACUGAAGAAAAAUGGCACCUACCCCACUUUUCAGCAGCCAUGAAGUACCAAUCUUCAGCCA